GAUGAACGCUAGCGGGAGGCCUAACACAUGCAAGCCGAGCGGUAGAGUUUCUUCGGAAACUUGAGAGCGGCGCACGGGUGCGUAACACGUGUGCAACCUACCUUUAUCUGGGGGAUAGCCUUUCGAAAGGAAGAUUAAUACCCCAUAAUAUAAUGAUUGGCAUCAAUUAUUAUUGAAAACUCCGGUGGAUAGAGAUGGGCACGCGCAAGAUUAGAUAGUUGGUGAGGUAACGGCUCACCAAGUCAAUGAUCUUUAGGGGUCCUGAGAGGGAGAUCCCCCACACUGGUACUGAGACACGGACCAGACACCUACGGGAGGCAGCAGUGAGGAAUAUUGGACAAUGGGUGAGAGCCUGAUCCAGCCAUCCCGCGUGAAGGAUGACGGUCCUAUGGAUUGUAAACUUCUUUUGUACAGGGAUAAACCUACCCUCGUGAGGGUAGCUGAAGGUACUGUACGAAUAAGCACCGGCUAACUCCGUG
This 479-nucleotide ribosomal RNA is filed under the name uncultured bacterium. RNAcentral describes it as "partial 16S ribosomal RNA". It matches the Rfam family "Bacterial small subunit ribosomal RNA", at positions 28 to 507 of the family's 1533-position model. The record is from RNAcentral.